RNAcentral lists this ribosomal RNA (371 nucleotides) under uncultured bacterium. RNAcentral describes it as "bacterial SSU rRNA". It matches the Rfam family "Bacterial small subunit ribosomal RNA", at positions 525 to 896 of the family's 1533-position model. The record is from RNAcentral.
ACGUAGGGUGCAAGCGUUAAUCGGAAUUACUGGGCGUAAAGCGUGCGCAGGCGGUUAUAUAAGACAGAUGUGAAAUCCCCGGGCUCAACCUGGGAACUGCAUUUGUGACUGUAUAGCUGGAGUGCGGCAGAGGGGGAUGGAAUUCCGCGUGUAGCAGUGAAAUGCGUAGAUAUGCGGAGGAACACCGAUGGCGAAGGCAAUCCCCUGGGCCUGCACUGACGCUCAUGCACGAAAGCGUGGGGAGCAAACAGGAUUAGAUACCCUGGUAGUCCACGCCCUAAACGAUGUCAACUGGUUGUUGGGUCUUCACUGACUCAGUAACGAAGCUAACGCGUGAAGUUGACCGCCUGGGGAGUACGGCCGCAAGGUUG